Schistosoma rodhaini is the source of this 33-nucleotide non-coding RNA. Lineage: Eukaryota; Metazoa; Platyhelminthes; Trematoda; Strigeidida; Schistosomatidae. The record is from Rfam.
CUGACGAGUCCCAAAUAGGACGAAACGCGUGUC